ACUCGACUCCAUGAAGUCGGAAUCGCUAGUAAUCGUAGAUCAGAAUGCUACGGUGAAUACGUUCCCGGGCCUUGUACACACCGCCCGUCACACCAUGGGAGUGGGUUGCAAAAGAAGUAGGUAGCUUAACCUUCGGGAGGGCGCUUACCACUUUGUGAUUCAUGACUGGGGUGAAGUCGUAACAAGGUAACCGUAGGGGAACCUGCGGUUGGANUCACCUCCUUACCUUAAAGAA
Molecule: ribosomal RNA, 235 nt
Filed under: Klebsiella pneumoniae
Lineage: Bacteria; Pseudomonadati; Pseudomonadota; Gammaproteobacteria; Enterobacterales; Enterobacteriaceae
Description: partial 16S ribosomal RNA
Rfam family: Bacterial small subunit ribosomal RNA
Source: RNAcentral